UAAUUUAUAUUUUAAUUAAGAUUAUUAGAAAUUUAUUUUUUAGUUAUGAUCGGGGUGAUUUUUAAAGAUUAUUAACCUUUAAAAUUUUUUAAUAAAAAAGUUCCAUUAGUAGUGAUUUUUUGAUAAAAAUACUCUAGGGAUAACAGCGUUAUUAUUUUGGAUAGUUCAUAUAGAUAAAAUAGUUUGCGACCUCGAUGUUGGAUUAGGAUUCUUUUAUGAUUAAGAAGUUAUAAGGGAGAAGUUUGCUCAACUUUUAAAGUCCUACUUGAUCUGAGUUCACCCCGGG
This 286-nucleotide ribosomal RNA is filed under the name Ornithodoros coriaceus. RNAcentral's name for it is "partial 16S ribosomal RNA". The stretch from base 139 to 286 matches the Rfam family "Bacterial large subunit ribosomal RNA", at positions 2473 to 2620 of the family's 2925-position model. Lineage: Eukaryota; Metazoa; Arthropoda; Arachnida; Ixodida; Argasidae. The record is from RNAcentral.